GUUUAUCGAUAAUGAGGAUCGUUAAACUCUCAGACAAUAAAGAGAAUGUUUGUUGCAUCACAGACAUGAUCGUAUGUUUUACUAACUAAACACAGCAUGUUGUGGAGGGCAUAUCAGUUUGUCUUGAAACAAUUUUACUGCACAAAGCAAAGGAUUUUUGGAAAGUGCAUUCACCCCUGUAAUUUGUCCAUACUGUAAAUUAUUUUUGCAGCAGUGAUCCAACUGGGAAAAACUGACCAAAAGCAACAGCGAUUUCUUUCAAACUUCCUUUUUGUCAGGGUCCCUGUGCCUACCCGGUCGGCUCAGUACGGCUACAUAUGUUUUGUAUUCCUUUUUUUAUUUUUUUCCUGCUCUCUCCUUUCCCCUCUUUCCCUCCUCCCUCUGCCUGGGCGGAGCUUACCUGCGGGCUCCUGCCCUUGGCCCACGCACCUGUGGCUCAUCACGAGUGAUCCAGCUCCUUUAUAAGACGGCAGCCCUGUGUUUCUCGUCGCUGGACCGUUGCCGACCCUCAUUCCCUGGACCUACCCCUGUGUUACCCGAGUGCGUGGAGUGUGAGGAGGAGUGGACGGAGAGUGUGCGUGUCUUUCCCGUUCGUGUGUGGACCCCCGGAGCCCGGCUUUCCCCUCACUUUUGUAAAUAAUCACCUGGUGCAUCAUAAUAAAGACUCUUGUGCUUUCAAGACCUAGAGCCUGCGCGUGAGUCCGUUCAGUCCCGUUGUGACACUUUUUUUUUUUAACCGUUUGGUGGAACUGGCGAUAAAAGGAAAAAAAGGAUUGUUUUCUGGAGAAAACAUUAACUCAACAAAAGUGACAACUGGACCAGCAGUUCGUUAACUCCAUCUGAUUGAGUAAAAUGGCACUAACUUGUACGAUACCUGCUAUAGACUCUGCACUAUGUGUUGAUCAGGUUAAAGACACUGAAAAGAAAAACUGGUGCAGACAGCUGCAUUUUGAAAGAGUGGAGUUGAACAAAAUGAAAAGUCUGGUAAUGGACAGAUGCAGGUUUAUCCAUAAUGAGGAUGGUUAAAACAGGCAAUAAAGAGGAUGUUUGUUGCAUCACAGACAUGAUAGGAUGUUUCACUAACUCAUAAAAACACGGCAUGUUGUGGAGGGCAUAGCAGUUUGUCUUGAAACAACUUUAAUCUCGAAAUUUUGUCUUUAUUCUCUUUUUUUGGGGGGGGGGCUUAAUAAUCGGCCAUAGUACACUGUAAAUGGUUUUAGUAAAUUUAACAGUAUUUUUACAGGGAUAUGUAUGUAUAAGAUACUCUAAAAUGUUUUUAAAUUAUUUUACUGCACAAAGCAAAGGAUUGUGGGAGAGUGUACAUUCACUGCUGUAAUUUGUCUGUACUGUAAAUUAUUUUGCAGCAGUGAUCCAACGCAGGAAAAACUGACCAAUAACAACAGAGAUUUCUUUCAAACUUCUUUUUUUUAAAAAAAAGUUUGGUGGAACCAACAGUAAAAGGAAAAAAGGAUUAUUUUCUGGAGAAAACAUUAACUCAACAAAAGGUUAGUAGACUCUUAUUAUGUUUUAGAAAACGAAGCUAUUUUCUAGAAUCAUUUACUUCUAAGCUGAUUUCAACUUUUUACAGUAAACACUAAAGUAGUGUAUAGUGGAGUAGUGUAUUGUCAUACACUGGUCAUAGCUUACAUUUGUUAUUGAGACCAUCAAAUGUUUAAAUAAUAGUUUUUGGCCUCAUUCUCUUCUGAAAAUUAUUAUUAUUUUUUUAAUGCCGUAUUCCCACAUGAUCCUAUAAAAUGUUUAUAAUUAUAAUUUUAUAUUAAGAAACAGAAACUAGCAGGAGUUGUGCAAGUGCAAGUGGCAAGGGAGGAGUUAUGUAAGCAUAUUUUAUAUUUUCAAAAGCAUCUUUUUUUUUUCCCUUCAAGCUUUUAGCCGACUCAUCAUUAGUGAGGUGUUCACUGGAGCCUUUUGUGGCUGGACUGGGUUGGGAGCUCGAUAAGCUAACAUGACUGAAUUAACUGAAGUAAACUGAAACUAAUGACAAAUCAAAAGUGCAUCUGUGUUCUUUGCAUAAUAAGUGUAGAUGCUUUCUGCAAAAAUGUAAUUUGUCAAAUAACUUUCAUUAAUUUCUGAAUAAAUUCACUAGAUGCAGACCACUGUGUGUUUUACAUUUUCUUCUGUUCUUCAUAAUUCAGUUCUUGCUUUAACUUCGACCUCUUUUUCUGUUUUCAGUGAAAACUGGACCAACACAUUUCUUAAGCACCAUAAGCCAUAGCAACCUUUAGCAGUUCAUUAAUGUCACCGACUUGCUCGAUACCUGCUAUAGACUCUGCACACAUGGAAGCCAAUCAGAGAUCGUACACUGUUAAACUUCCAACAUCUGAGUUCAUUAUUAGCUGUUGAGGUUAAGCAUUCAGUCAACACAGAAACACUGGGGAGGAUGUUUUCUGUACUCUGUAAGGACCAGUGAUGGAUGUGGGGCUGAAGCCUUUAGGUUUAUAUUGUUAAAAAGUAAUUAUGAGAGAAUUUGUUUCAGGUCGUUUUUCAGAGUAACAUGAAAGUAACAUAAUGAAUAAUGUAACAAAUUAACUUUUAGUAAACUACUGCAUUACUUCUAAGAAAGGUGUUCUGUGUAAUAUGUUUAUUUAUUUCUCGAGUAAUAACCUCAACAGCGGUAAGCACAGAUAAUUUUGUUGAUAAUGAGAACGCACUGCUCAUUAAGUUUUAAAAUUACAUUUUAAAAGUCAAAUGAACAAAAUGUGUGUCAAAACAAGCAUUUAGCUCGAUUUCAACUUCUCUGGUCUCUGCAGUAACCUCUUUGUGGUGUAUUUUUUUCCACUUUAACAGUCAAAUAUUAACCACAGGCACUAAAACUGUGUCCUUUACAUCUGCUUCCUCUCUAUUUUAUGGCCUCACAGAGAGUAGUAGUAACAUGUGGUGUAGCUUACUGAUGGCCACUUUAACAUGAAUUCAAAUUGAAAUUUCCACAAGUCAUAAUAGCUAAACCCAGAGAUUUAAAUUCUUUUACAAUCAAGGCCUGUGAGCACCAGUCAAUUUACAUGAAAGUAAAUGAAGUGUAAAAUAUAACUGUGCACAGUUUGUAGAUUUUCUGUGAGUGAGUUAUUUUUUUCAUUUCUUAGCAGUCAUAUAAUGCUUAUUUUCUUUGUCACUUAUUUGUGUAUUUACUGUGUAAAUGUUUGUAAUAGAUAAGUCAGGGCAAGUUUGUUGACGGUGUAAGCCUCAUUUAUUCUCCAGGUUUCAGUACUGUUGUUUACUGUGGCUUGAUUUUCUGUAGAAAGUGUAAUGAAGAAAACUUCUGUUAUGAAACAGCACAUUCCUCAUUUCAAAAGCGCAAAUUAAAAAAAUUAUACAAUUCAUUUUUUUAAAUUUAUUUUUUAGAAAAUAACAUAAUUAAAUACAGAAAUAAGACUGAGACUUUGCAGAGCUCUGCACAGAAUCCAACAUGAGCUCGGUUAGCACCAAAGAAAAAACCCUUGAUA
Molecule: long non-coding RNA, 3458 nt
Organism: Astatotilapia calliptera (eastern happy)
Lineage: Eukaryota; Metazoa; Chordata; Actinopteri; Cichliformes; Cichlidae
Source: Ensembl